Molecule: ribosomal RNA, 615 nt
Filed under: Helicoma sp. BCC 3512
Lineage: Eukaryota; Fungi; Ascomycota; Dothideomycetes; Tubeufiales; Tubeufiaceae
Description: eukaryotic LSU rRNA
Rfam family: Eukaryotic large subunit ribosomal RNA
Source: RNAcentral
AUACCCGCUGAACUUAAGCAUAUCAAUAAGCGGAGGAAAAGAAACCAACAGGGAUUGCCUCAGUAACGGCGAGUGAAGCGGCAAUAGCUCAAAUUUGAAAUCUGCUCUUUGAGCCGAAUUGUAAUUUGUAGAGGAUGCUUCGGCUUACGUUUCGGUCUAAGUUCCUUGGAACAGGACGUCACAGAGGGUGAGAAUCCCGUUUGUGGCCGAGACUUCCGCCAUGUGAAGCUCCUUCGACGAGUCGAGUUGUUUGGGAAUGCAGCUCUAAAUGGGAGGUAUAUUUCUUCUAAAGCUAAAUACCGGCCAGAGACCGAUAGCGCACAAGUAGAGUGAUCGAAAGAUGAAAAGCACUUUGGAAAGAGAGUUAAAAAGUACGUGAAAUUGUUGAAAGGGAAGCGCUUGCGACCAGACUUGCCCGCGGAUGCUCAACCGGUCCUUCGGCCGGUGCACUCUUCCGCGGUCAGGCCAGCAUCAGUUCGAGUAGUCAGAUAAAGGCUUAGGGAAUGUGGCUCUCUUCGGGGAGUGUUAUAGCCCUUUGUGCAAUAUGGCUUACUUGGACUGAGGCCCGCGCUUCGGCUAGGAUGCUGGCGUAAUGGUCGUAAGCGGCCCGUCUUG